This 250-nucleotide ribosomal RNA is filed under the name uncultured bacterium. Its description in RNAcentral is "partial 16S ribosomal RNA". It matches the Rfam family "Bacterial small subunit ribosomal RNA", at positions 524 to 773 of the family's 1533-position model. The record is from RNAcentral.
UACGGAGGGUGCAAGCGUUAAUCGGAAUGACUGGGCGUAAAGGGUGCGUAGGUGGAUAAUUAAGUUAUAGGUGAAAUCACUGGGCUUAACCUGGUGCGGAAUUAUAAUACUGGUUAUCUAGAGUGUAGGAGAGGGUAGUGGAAUUUCCGGUGUAGCGGUGAAAUGCGUAGAGAUCGGAAGGAACACCAGUUGCGAAGGCGGCUACCUGGCCUAAUACUGACACUGAGGCACGAAAGCGUGGGGAGCAAAC